Molecule: long non-coding RNA, 585 nt
Organism: Cyprinus carpio (common carp)
Lineage: Eukaryota; Metazoa; Chordata; Actinopteri; Cypriniformes; Cyprinidae
Source: Ensembl
UAUGAGCCUAGUCAUAUAUCAGAACAGCAGACCAUAUAUAUAUGUGUGAUAGCAGCAGACCUUCUUGAAGCGAUACGAAUUGAGGUAUGUUAAAUAAUCUGCUAGAGUUAUUGUUGUUGAUUGUAUUGUAAUGAUGCAACAUUUAUUAUUUAUAAACGAUUAAUGUGAUAUCAAUUCAAAAGAUGGGUCAAGUACCUGAUUGAGUCAGAUGUUCUGUCUGACUCAAACUUAGCUAACCGCGUGUAGGUCAAGCUGCCCCUAGUCUUCUCUUUACCCGCGUUUACCCGUCUCACUCACAUUUAAAAUUAAUUACAUUUUUAUUUUUAUCUUGUUGUCUGUCUUUAGCUUGCUAUGGCUUCUUCUGGUAAGACCCUGUUUACUCCUUGCAUUUAAACAUACUCCACAUGGUUUUUGGAGCAACAUUAGAGUGAAUAUUCACAAAUGAUCGACAGGUUUUGGGCUAUGCUAGGGAGAGAUGGAAGAUUCCAGACUCUGGUGCAUUUAAUGAAGGCACUUUUGUGUGUGCCACACAGCAAUGCAUCAUCAGAGAGGGUGUUCAGCAUGGUUAGAAAGAUAGUGACAGAG